GGUUUAGAGGUGGAGCUCCUUUCAUUUCAAUGAAGGGUCUACCGGAAGGGUUUGUGCAGCUGCUUGUUCAUGGUUCCCACUAUCCUACCUCUGUUAGAAAACGAGGAGAUAGGCUUGUGGUUUGCAUGACCGAGGAGCUGCCUCAAUCCCUCGCUGACCGCUGUUUGGCUUGAAGGGAGCUCUGCAUCUUGAUCUA
This is a non-coding RNA of Triticum aestivum (bread wheat), 196 nucleotides long. The record is from Rfam. NCBI's taxonomy places the organism in Eukaryota, Viridiplantae, Streptophyta, Magnoliopsida, Poales, Poaceae.